RNAcentral lists this ribosomal RNA (497 nucleotides) under uncultured bacterium. RNAcentral's name for it is "partial 16S ribosomal RNA". It matches the Rfam family "Bacterial small subunit ribosomal RNA", at positions 28 to 507 of the family's 1533-position model. The record is from RNAcentral.
GAUGAACGCUGGCGGCGUGCCUAAUACAUGCAAGUCGAGCGAACGGACGAGAAGCUUGUUUCUUUGAUGUUAGCGGCGGACGGGUGAGUAACACGUGGAUCACCUACUUAUAAUACUGGGAUAAUUUCGGGAAACCGGAGCUAAUACCGGAUAAUAUUUUGAACCGCAUGGUUCAAAAGUGCAAGACGGCCUUGCUGUCUCUUAUAGAUGGAUCCGCGCUGCAUUAGCUAGUUGGUAAGGUAACGGCCUACCAAGGCAACGAUGCAUAGCCGACCUGAGAGGGUGAUCGGCCACACUGGAACUGAGACACGGUCCAGACUCCUACGGGAGGCAGCAGUAGGGAAUAUUCCGCAAUGGGCGAAAGCCUGACGGAGCAACGCCGCGUGAGUGAUGAAGGUCUUCGGAUCGUAAAGCUCUGUUAUUAGGGAAGAACAUAUGUGUAAGUAACUGUGCACAUCUUGACGGUACCUAAUCAAAAAGCCCCGGCUAACUACGUG